UGUGCGCGCUCCCGCCGUAUAGACUCUGGGCUUUGCGUUGGCGCUGCUGAUGCUGACUAUACUGAGGAUGAUGAAGAAGAUGAUGAAGCUUUGAUUAGCGCUGCAGAAGAGGAGGAGAGUGAAGAUGAUGAGGAUGAUGAAGGAGCAGGUCAGAGAGUCAGGGUUGUUUUGGUCCACAUCAUGACAUCAUGACGUCAGGAGGAGGAGGAGGAGGAAGAGGAGACGUCCAACAACAACAGCAGAGAGGAAAAAAGACUCUUCAUGAACUGUUUUUAAACAUAAACACACACACAAACACAUUAUUGUAGAUUUUUAAACUGUAAUAUAUUCAUACAUGACACACACAGUCAAGUUCACUCCUGCCCACACAGACAAAAUACACACACACACUACAACAGUAGUGAGGACAUUCAUCACUCAUGGGUGAGUCUCAGUUCUAACUGUUAAAACCAGGUCAGAACUCAUUUUAAGGUGUAAACAGACUAAAUGUCCUCACUGAGGGUUUUUUUAGGCCCUAA
Long non-coding RNA from Solea solea (common sole), 518 nucleotides. RefSeq lists it as uncharacterized. The transcript has 3 exons. Lineage: Eukaryota; Metazoa; Chordata; Actinopteri; Pleuronectiformes; Soleidae. The record is from RefSeq and is a predicted model, not a curated record.